GGGUCCUGCGCAACAGGAGGUCCUGAACCGUGUCAGGUCCGGGAGGAAGCAGCACUAAGGGAUUUUUCUUGUGUGCCGCAGGGGAGCCUGGA
Molecule: signal recognition particle RNA, 92 nt
Filed under: Syntrophothermus lipocalidus DSM 12680
Lineage: Bacteria; Bacillati; Bacillota; Clostridia; Eubacteriales; Syntrophomonadaceae
Description: SRP RNA; RNA component of signal recognition particle
Rfam family: Bacterial small signal recognition particle RNA
About the family: The signal recognition particle (SRP) is a universally conserved ribonucleoprotein involved in the co-translational targeting of proteins to membranes.
Source: RNAcentral